GUGUCAGCAGCCGCGGUAAAACGUAGGAGGCGAGCGUUAUCCGGAUUUACUGGGCGUAAAGGGCAAGUAGGCGGUAGCCAAAGUUGGGUGUGACAUCUCCCGGCUCAACUGGGAGGGGCCACUCAAGACUAGGCAACUAGAGGGCAGGAGAGGGAAGUGGAAUUCCUAGUGUAGCGGUGAAAUGCUCAGAUAUUAGGAAGAACACCAGUGGCGAAGGCGGCUUCCUGGCCUGUACCUGACGCUGAGAGGCGAAAGCUAGGGGAGCAAACGGGCUUAGAUAUCCCGGUAGUCCUAGCCGUAAACAUUGGAUACUGGGUAUUAGGGGGCUAAAAUCCCUUAGUGCCGAAGCAAACGCGUUAAGUAUCCCGCCUGGGGACUACGACCGCAAGGUUAAAACUUAAAUGAAUUGACGGGG
This 415-nucleotide ribosomal RNA is filed under the name uncultured prokaryote. RNAcentral's name for it is "bacterial SSU rRNA". It matches the Rfam family "Bacterial small subunit ribosomal RNA", at positions 505 to 918 of the family's 1533-position model. The record is from RNAcentral.